RNAcentral lists this ribosomal RNA (253 nucleotides) under uncultured bacterium. Its description in RNAcentral is "partial 16S ribosomal RNA". It matches the Rfam family "Bacterial small subunit ribosomal RNA", at positions 524 to 776 of the family's 1533-position model. The record is from RNAcentral.
UACGGGGGGGGCAAGCGUUGUUCGGAAUUACUGGGCGUAAAGGGCCAGUAGGCGGCCAACUAAGUCCGACGUGAAAUCCCCAGGCUUAACCUGGGAACUGCGUCGGAUACUGGAUGGCUUGAAUUCGGGAGAGGGAUGCAGAAUUCCAGGUGUAGCGGUGAAAUGCGUAGAUAUCUGGAGGAACACCGGUGGCGAAGGCGGCGUUCUGGACUGUUUCUGACACUGAAUAACGAAAGCCAGGGGAGCAAACGGG